GGUCUCCUGUGGAUUUAAUUUCUGGGUUUUUUUCGUUAUUUUUUCUUUCAAUCUUUGGAGUUUUUAUUCACUCAGGAGUCUGUCGUCACUGCCUGUAGAAUGGGGUCUGAUGACUCGUACAAUUUUGUGUUUAAAGUGGUUCUAAUAGGAGAGUCGGGUGUAGGAAAAAGCAACCUUCUCUCCCGCUUCACUAAAAAUGAGUUCAACCACGACAGUCGCACCACCAUCGGAGUGGAGUUCAGCACACGGACGGUUCAGCUGGACAACUUCAUCAUCAAAGCCCAAAUCUGGGACACAGCAGGGCUGGAGCGCUACAGGGCUAUCACCUCAGCGUAUUACAGAGGAGCUGUUGGGGCCUUGUUGGUGUAUGACAUCAGUAAACACUUGACCUACGAGAGUGCAGAGCGCUGGCUGAAGGAGCUGUACGAACAUGCAGACCCUCAUAUUGUGGUCAUGUUGGUGGGAAAUAAGAGCGACCUGGAAUCUGUCAGGACUGUGCCCACAGAGGAAGCCAAGGACUUUGCAGAGAAAAGAGGCCUAAUGUUUAUGGAAACAUCAGCGCUGGAUUCCACCAAUGUGGAGGUUGCCUUCAAUGAAGUCCUGACUGCCAUCCAUAAGAAGGUGGCCAGCAGGGAGGUGACCCGUGGCUCCAUCAGCGCUGUAACUCUAUCCAACUCCAUCGGUCCCACCAGUGAGGCGCAGGAGGAGCGCAGAAGCUGCUGCAAGAGUUCCUAACAGACCGUCUCCCCCUGCUCAUCUGUGGUGUCCAGGAUGAAGCCACAUCCUCUUUGACUGUUGAACAUGAAGUCGUUUACCCACACACUGGCUGAAGAUGAGGUGAAGGUUAUGUUUGCAAAAACACAUUAAUGAGCUCUUCGGCAGGAGGACUGAAAGAAGCCAGACGACCACGAAGAUAAAGGUCGAAGUAGGUGGAAAAAAGUGGAUUUAGGACCUACAGGUGGUUGUCAUAACUCCUGUAUGUAAAAGACAUGUGUAGCCUGUUAAGAAAAGUGUAUCUAAAGCCUUGGUUCCCAAACCCUUUGCGGCACUCCGCCGUGCUGGCA
Cynoglossus semilaevis (tongue sole) is the source of this 1064-nucleotide RNA transcript. It is a transcript of the gene named ras-related protein Rab-25-like, with no coding region annotated. The transcript has 6 exons. Lineage: Eukaryota; Metazoa; Chordata; Actinopteri; Pleuronectiformes; Cynoglossidae. The record is from RefSeq and is a predicted model, not a curated record.